This 73-nucleotide transfer RNA is filed under the name Caldilineaceae bacterium SB0661_bin_34. RNAcentral describes it as "tRNA-His". It matches the Rfam family "tRNA". Rfam says of the family: Transfer RNA (tRNA) molecules are approximately 80 nucleotides in length. Their secondary structure includes four short double-helical elements and three loops (D, anti-codon, and T loops). Lineage: Bacteria; Bacillati; Chloroflexota; Caldilineae; Caldilineales; Caldilineaceae. The record is from RNAcentral. RNAcentral also lists the same sequence under 4 other names.
GCGGUCAUAGCUCAAUAGGCAGAGCACGUGAUUGUGGUUCACGUGGUUGUGGGUUCAAGUCCCAUUGGCCGCC